RNAcentral lists this small nuclear RNA (305 nucleotides) under Panthera pardus (leopard). Its description in RNAcentral is "7SK RNA (ENSPPRG00000015632.1)". It matches the Rfam family "7SK RNA". From Rfam's summary of the family: 7SK was discovered as an abundant small nuclear RNA in the mid-70s but a possible function has only recently been suggested. Two independent studies have found that 7SK RNA binds the CDK9/cyclin T complex (known as elongation factor P-TEFb). The record is from RNAcentral. Lineage: Eukaryota; Metazoa; Chordata; Mammalia; Carnivora; Felidae.
GGAUGUGAGGGCGAUCUGGCUGCGACAUCUGUCACCCAUUGAUCGCCAGGGUUGAUUCGGCUGAUCUGGCUGGCUAGGCGGGUGUCCCCUUCCUCCCUCACCGCUCCAUGUGCGUCCCUCCCGAAGCUGCGCGCUCGGUCGAAGAGGACGACCUUCCCCGAUAGAGGAGGACCGUUCUUUGGUCAAGGGUAUACGAGUAGCUGCGCUCCCCUGCUAGAACCUCCAAACAAGCUCUCAAAAUGUGCUUUGAUGAAUGGAGAUAAUAUCUGUCAACAUAUUCGUGUAUUUCCCACGAGUAUAUUUUG